UACGAAGGGGGCUAGCGUUGUUCGGAAUCACUGGGCGUAAAGCGCACGUAGGCGGAUUGUUAAGUCAGGGGUGAAAUGCCAAGGCUCAACCUUGGAACUGCCUUUGAUACUGGCAAUCUCGAGUCCGGGAGAGGUGAGUGGAACUGCGAGUGUAGAGGUGAAAUUCGUGGAUAUUCGCAAGAACACCAGUGGCGAAGGCGGCUCACUGGCCCGGUACUGACGCUGAGGUGCGAAAGCGUGGGGAGCAAACAGG
This 253-nucleotide ribosomal RNA is filed under the name uncultured bacterium. RNAcentral describes it as "partial 16S ribosomal RNA". It matches the Rfam family "Bacterial small subunit ribosomal RNA", at positions 524 to 776 of the family's 1533-position model. The record is from RNAcentral.